AGAACGAACGCUGGCGGCAUGCCUAACACAUGCAAGUCGAACGCUCUUGGGAUUUCGGUCUCAAGGGAGUGGCGCACGGGUGAGUAGCGCGUGGGAACCUGCCCUGUUGUGGGGGAUAACCGAGGGAAACUUCGGCUAAUACCGCAUGCGCCCCCGGGAGUGAUCCUGGGGGGAAAGAUUUAUCGCAGCAGGAGGGGCCCGCGUCGGAUUAGGUAGUUGGUGGGGUAACGGCCCACCAAGCCUGUGAUCCGUAGCUGGUCUGAGAGGAUGAUCAGCCACACUGGGACUGAGACACGGCCCAGACUCCUACGGGAGGCAGCAGUGGGGAAUAUUGGACAAUGGGCGCAAGCCUGAUCCAGCAAUGCCGCGUGAGUGACGAAGGCCUUAGGGUUGUAAAGCUCUUUCGCCCGCGACGAUGAUGACGGUAGCGGGAGAAGAAGCCCUGCUAACUUCGUGCCAGCAGCCGC
RNAcentral lists this ribosomal RNA (467 nucleotides) under uncultured bacterium. RNAcentral describes it as "SSU rRNA". It matches the Rfam family "Bacterial small subunit ribosomal RNA", at positions 26 to 518 of the family's 1533-position model. The record is from RNAcentral.